This is a non-coding RNA of Podarcis lilfordi (Lilford's wall lizard), 74 nucleotides long. The record is from the annotation of a GenBank genome assembly. NCBI's taxonomy places the organism in Eukaryota, Metazoa, Chordata, Lepidosauria, Squamata, Lacertidae.
CUCUGGGAUAGCUCAGGCAGUAGCGCAUGAGACUCUUAAUCUCAGGGUUGUGAGUUCGAGCCCUGUGUUGGGGA